GCCGCCGCGGUAAUACGUAGGUGGCAAGCGUUGUCCGGAAUUACUGGGUGUAAAGGGAGCGCAGGCGGGACUGCAAGUUGGAUGUGAAAUACCGCAGCUUAACUGCGGAGCUGCAUCCAAAACUGUAGUUCUUGAGUGGAGUAGAGGUAGGCGGAAUUCCGAGUGUAGCGGUGAAAUGCGUAGAUAUUCGGAGGAACACCAGUGGCGAAGGCGGCCUACUGGGCUCUUACUGACGCUGAGGCUCGAAAGUGUGGGGAGCAAACAGGAUUAGAUACCCC
This 278-nucleotide ribosomal RNA is filed under the name uncultured Eubacterium sp. RNAcentral describes it as "partial 16S ribosomal RNA". It matches the Rfam family "Bacterial small subunit ribosomal RNA", at positions 511 to 788 of the family's 1533-position model. Lineage: Bacteria; Bacillati; Bacillota; Clostridia; Eubacteriales; Eubacteriaceae. The record is from RNAcentral.